GCAGUGAUAGUUCAGUGGUAGAUUUCUCACCUUCCACGCGGGAGACCCUGGUUCGAUUCCUGGUCAAUACA
This 71-nucleotide transfer RNA is filed under the name Loxodonta africana (African savanna elephant). It matches the Rfam family "tRNA". From Rfam's summary of the family: Transfer RNA (tRNA) molecules are approximately 80 nucleotides in length. Their secondary structure includes four short double-helical elements and three loops (D, anti-codon, and T loops). The record is from Rfam by way of RNAcentral. Lineage: Eukaryota; Metazoa; Chordata; Mammalia; Proboscidea; Elephantidae.